GGCUAACGCUGGCGGCGUGUCUUAGCCAUGCAAGUCGAGCGGACUUAUGGGGUAACUUAUAAGUCAGCGGCGGACGGCGGAGUAACACGUAGCUAACCUACCCUCUGGACGGGGAUAACCUACCGAAAGGUGGGCUAAUACCCGAUGUAGUCAUCCUGUAUAGGGGUGAUGAAAGGUGGGCUUCUGUUUACAAGCUCAUGCUGGAGGAGGGGGCUGCGGCCUAUCAGGUAGUUGGUAGGGUAAUAGCCUACCAAGCCGAUGACGGGUAGCCGGCCUGAGAGGGUGACCGGCCCGAGGGGCACUGAGAUACGGGUCCCACUCCUACGGGAGGCAGCAGGCUAGAAAUUUGGGCAAUGGGGGAAACCCUGACCCAGUGACGCCGCGUGCAGGAAGGAGCCCGUUCGGGGUGUAAACUGCUGUCGUGUAGGGAGAAGGGUACUAAGGUGAACAAUCUUAGUACUUGACGGUACUACAGGAGGAAGCCCAGGCCUAACCUCGUGCCAGCAGCCGACGGUAAAUAGCGUACU
RNAcentral lists this ribosomal RNA (527 nucleotides) under uncultured bacterium. RNAcentral describes it as "bacterial SSU rRNA". It matches the Rfam family "Bacterial small subunit ribosomal RNA", at positions 28 to 531 of the family's 1533-position model. The record is from RNAcentral.